GCCUGGGUGGCUCAGUUGGUUAAGCAUCUGACUUCAACUCAGGUCAUGAUCUCGCAGUUUGUGGGUUCAAGCCCCUCAUCGGGCU
RNAcentral lists this transfer RNA (85 nucleotides) under Felis catus (domestic cat). It matches the Rfam family "tRNA". From Rfam's summary of the family: Transfer RNA (tRNA) molecules are approximately 80 nucleotides in length. Their secondary structure includes four short double-helical elements and three loops (D, anti-codon, and T loops). Further hydrogen bonds mediate the characteristic L-shaped molecular structure. tRNAs have two regions of fundamental functional importance: the anti-codon, which is responsible for specific mRNA codon recognition, and the 3' end, to which the tRNAs corresponding amino acid is attached (by aminoacyl-tRNA synthetases). tRNAs cope with the degeneracy of the genetic code in two manners: having more than one tRNA (with a specific anti-codon) for a particular amino acid; and 'wobble' base-pairing, i.e. permitting non-standard base-pairing at the 3rd anti-codon position. The record is from Rfam by way of RNAcentral. Lineage: Eukaryota; Metazoa; Chordata; Mammalia; Carnivora; Felidae.